AAUCCUAUGGCUUAGAUGGCAAAGCGACUGCCUAGUAAGCAGGAGAUCACGAGUUCGAGUCUCGAUGGGACCU
Daphnia pulex (common water flea) is the source of this 73-nucleotide non-coding RNA. Lineage: Eukaryota; Metazoa; Arthropoda; Branchiopoda; Diplostraca; Daphniidae. The record is from Rfam.